Non-coding RNA from Sus scrofa (pig), 1740 nucleotides. The record is from RefSeq and is a predicted model, not a curated record. NCBI's taxonomy places the organism in Eukaryota, Metazoa, Chordata, Mammalia, Artiodactyla, Suidae.
GCCUCUGGGAGGGGGGUCCCCCAAAUGAGUGAACACAUGUGCAAGCUCAGGAGGGACUAACAAAAGCAGAUGUGCUAUGUUUUCCGUCUAAAAAGACCAGCCUAUCAUCAGGAUAGCUAAUAUCUCACUUGAAUCUUAAAAGACCCAUAGAGCAUCACUGGGAAAGGAGGCUAUCUUAGGAAGGGAAAAUAAAACGAGAAAAGGAACAGGAGACAGGGCUUGGCAUGUCUGAGGAACAGGCGGCCUCUGUGCAGGAGGCUUUCGAGAGAGACCUUCUCUGGAGUGGAAGCGGGUGGAGCUGAGGGGGAGGAGAAGACGGGGCGGAGGCCAGGGUCAUGCUCAAGGCAGGACUGAGUCUGGGCCCGCAGGUAAAGGGCAGCCUUCAAAGGACUCAUGCUGCGGCCUUUGACUGAGAACAACAGCUGAGGGGAGGGUGGGCAACGGCAGCCACGGGCGGGCACCGGAGGCGAGGUGACACGCUCAGAUGCUGCUGCAGCAUCCAGCGGAGAGGCGACAGGGCCUGGGCAAGGCUGGGGUAGCAGAGGCACAGAGGACCGGUCAGAAUCCUUGAUGCUGUGUCUCCUUUUCUUCUCAGGUAAUGAACUCGUUCCAGGAAAUACAACCUGACAGUUUGCUCUAGACUUAUUUGUUGCUCAAAGAACUACUGAACUCCUACUACGUGAUACAGAAUUGAAUAAAAUGCGGUCCCUGUGGCCUUAAGGAGCUCAUGCAGCCUAAGUAAGUAUAUUAUUAAUCUCUUAUUGCCCACCCAUCAAGUUGUUUCCUUCCAAUCUUAAAGGUCGCAGAGAAAUCUUACCUAAAUGCACUCAACUCUAAUUGACGCUUUUAGUUCCCGGAGUGGAACUUCUUUGUCCCAUCUAAAACGAGAUGCCACAUUAAGUAUGGGCAUUAACACAGAGCUCUUGCUUAGCGUUUUCUUUCUGGUGGGUCUCUCUGGGGCCUGAGAGAUUUCUCUCCAGGCCUUGCACUUCCCACUGCCUCUUCUUAGCGUUCUAUGUUCAUAAGACCUCAACGCUUGAGUAUUUUUCUUUUCCAUGAUGCCAGUGUUCCAAGUUAUGGGGUAACUGGCUGAGGGAGUGAUGGAAUGGGAGACAUCCAAGUCCUGGCUACAGUCUUGGGGGCUCUGGGCAUGAGACCAUAGGAGGCAACAGCUCAGCUGCCUGAGUUCAGCGAGGUGCAGAAUUCCCCUGGCUGAGGUGCUGCCGUCCUCAGGGAGGUGGAGUAGCUGUUUCAAGGACAUGGUUAGGAAGUAGCAUAACUGGGAUUCAAAACCAGCUACUCUGACUGCAAAAUCUUUCUCUGAUUGUUAUAAGGUACGGAGUCCUCAACAAAUAGAGAAUUUUCAGUUAAACAGCUUUGAUCAGAGGAUUUCUGGAAUUUCAUCAGCUGAAAAAGCACUAAUGUUUGAAUUUUCCUAAUAAGCAUGACAAGGGAUACAGAAUUAACACGCAAGAGUCCUUUCGGGCUGCAAAGCAUACAGAGCAGCAUUAGCUCAUGAGAGAACUGAGGAUUAAGGAGCUUUCACCUUGUUCUUAAGUAAUGAUUAGAUUGCAACCAGAUAAGAAGCCUUCCUUAAUACAGUAUAUAAGCUCAUGGCUGCACCAAUGGCUACUGUUAGUUACAACUUGCAAGAGUUAAGACAAAUGAAUACAAAGGCUGACUUCACAUCUCCAGCACGCUAAUAUACUUUGGGAAAAGUUCGCAUAAUUUACCCUUCAA